Molecule: small RNA, 30 nt
Filed under: Bombyx mori (domestic silkworm)
Lineage: Eukaryota; Metazoa; Arthropoda; Insecta; Lepidoptera; Bombycidae
Description: ovarian small RNA-8796
Source: RNAcentral
UGGGCACUGAAGCGCCUGAAUAAGGUGCUC